RNAcentral lists this ribosomal RNA (573 nucleotides) under uncultured bacterium. RNAcentral's name for it is "bacterial SSU rRNA". It matches the Rfam family "Bacterial small subunit ribosomal RNA", at positions 90 to 677 of the family's 1533-position model. The record is from RNAcentral.
GAGGAUGGCGGGACGGGUGAGUAACGCGUAAGGAACUUGCCUCUUGGACUGGGACAACUGUUGGAAACGACAGCUAAUACCGGAUAUUAUGAGAUUCUCGCAUGAGAAACUUAUGAAAGCUAUAUGCGCCAAGAGAGAGCCUUGCGUUCCAUUAGCUAGUUGGUGGGGUAACGGCCCACCAAGGCGACGAUGGAUAGCCGGCCUGAGAGGGUGAACGGCCACAAGGGGACUGAGACACGGCCCUUACUCCUACGGGAGGCAGCAGUGGGGAAUAUUGGACAAUGGGCCACAAGCCUGAUCCAGCAAUUCUGUGUGCACGAUGAAGGUCUUCGGAUUGUAAAGUGCUUUCAGUUGGGAAGAAGAAAGUGACGGUACCAACAGAAGAAGCGACGGCUAAAUACGUGCCAGCAGCCGCGGUAAUACGUAUGUCGCAAGCGUUAUCCGGAUUUAUUGGGCGUAAAGCGCGUCUAGGCGGAAAAAUAAGUCUGAUGUUAAAAUGCGGGGCUCAACUCCGUAUUGCGUUGGAAACUGUUUUUCUAGAGUACUGGAGAGGUGGGCGGAACUACAAGUGUA